UUUUUCCUUUUUGUCGUCUUCUCUAUCAUUCGGAGAAAGAAACCACGACGUCUUCUCCGUCAGAGACGAUCGACGAUUCGGUCGGUCCUCACGGCGUCUCGUCCUUCUUCUCUCUUGUUCUCCGUCAGACGAUCGAUCCUCACGGCGUAUCGUCCGUCUUCGUUCGAUCGAUCGAAACCCAUCUCUCUCUCACCCUUUCUCACACCACCAUCCUCUUCUGUUCCCCUGUCCUCGCAUCAACAGCCCCCUUCACCUCAAUCUCCGACCAAUCCACCGUGAACGCGUUUCGUAAUCUCAAGUUUCUUGGUAAGAGCUCGUUCAGGUUCCGUAUAGUGGGGAAGAUGAGUCGGGGGUUUUGAAGAGAGUUAAAGGGAGCUUCUCUGAUCCGGAGAACACAGUUGUUUGUGUCCUUGACAAUUUUGAUGGUAACUCAACGAAAGUGGUUGAAUUGCUGGUUGAGAAUGGAUUCAAGGAGGCUUAACUUGAAGCUUUCCUACGCAAUGUUGUUUGUUUUGAUAAUUAUCAGAUAUUGUUGAUAGUCAUGCGUGUUUAUUUCUUCAAAGUUUGUGGUCUUACGGAUUUCACUUCCUUUUCUACCUUUUCAGUUCUGUUACAGGUAUGAUACAAAACAUAGCAUUCAUUUCGAUGAGCUACAUUUUCUUUAGUGUGCUACUGUGGUCAUGAAUCAAAUCAUCAGCUUCUCCCUAACUCAUGAUAUAAAGAAACAUUUAUAGAUUAGUAAAAGUAUCUUCAAAUGAAGCUGUUUUGAUUGUUAUUUUUACAGAGUCUAAUCUGAACGAAGCAUUAAAAGUUGUUGGUGAGAAUGUGCACGUAUCUUUUGCUGGUUUAUGGACCUGUAAGGAGCCACCUCGGUUUCCCUGUUUGGAGACUUCGAUACACUGAGAUAGUGAUCGUUGAAGUAUGUGAGAUAUGGUUCUCUUUUGAAGGGGUUUACAUUGAACCCCAAAAACAAGAAGGCAAUGGAAUGUGUCCCGUUGUUAAAACUGAAUUUCCAGGCGUUGGAGCUUUCUUUGUUUGUAGUUCAAAAAAAAGGAGCUUAAUUUCUUUGUUAAAGUUAUUUCUCCGUUGUGAACAUCUCAUAUAAUAGUUAAAAAUAAAAUAGUUAAAAAUGACACUAUAUCAUUGUCAGUUAUCUAUUGUCUUCAUUGGUCCAAUGAGAUUCCAUGCUACCAUUUGCUUAAAGAAUCUUCAAACCCAAAUCCUGAAAAAUACCAAAAAGAAUGAGAAAAAGCAAUCAUGUAACGAGAACGCGUAGUAAAAUACCAAAAAGAAUGAGGAAAAAACAAUCAUGUAACGAGAACGCGUAGUGGUCCAGUGCAGGAACACAUCACGUGAACUCACAGCUUAGCUAGCCUUCAUAUGUGUCCACACGCGUUCCUCUUUUUCUUUUGUUUCCUUUUCACUCGAUAAGUUUAGCCUUCAUAUGUGCUGGUUGAUAAAAUUCAUGCAUUUAUCUUUUCCUUGCAUGAGUGGACAUGCUAUACGAUUCUUAUUCCUACCAUCUAGAUUAUAUAUGACAUUAUCGACAUACUAUUUUCUUACUUAAAUAGUAUAAUGUCGUUAAAUGACAUAUUCCUAUAUGUGUAAAAAUUGUUGAGACAGAAAAAGGUGGUACAAGUAAGAACCAUUUAAUAGCUUCAUAUUAUUUUUAGCCGUUCACUUAUUUUUUUCAGUUUGUCAUCGAAAAUUGAGUUUCCAAAAUAAUUCAAACAUUCUAAAGGUUAUAUCAUUGUAAAUAUGGUUUUUGUUGAAUAAAUUUACAGUACAUGCAGCAAACAAAAAAGAAUAUUAGUUUCUCUUUUUUAGUUUGUUUAACAUAUUUCUUGUUUAACCGAUCUAAUAAACUAUCGAAAAACCAAUCUAAUAAACAAACUGGAACAAUGUUUCUUUUUUUUUAGAAGAAAUGUAAUAUAGAUAGAAGAUGAUGAAAACAACUAUUUAGAAUGAAUCUUAAUUAGUACACAAA
Brassica napus (rape) is the source of this 1987-nucleotide RNA transcript. RefSeq lists it as uncharacterized. NCBI's taxonomy places the organism in Eukaryota, Viridiplantae, Streptophyta, Magnoliopsida, Brassicales, Brassicaceae. The record is from RefSeq and is a predicted model, not a curated record. The transcript is spliced from 5 exons.